Molecule: ribosomal RNA, 170 nt
Filed under: uncultured bacterium
Lineage: Bacteria
Description: partial 16S ribosomal RNA
Rfam family: Bacterial small subunit ribosomal RNA
Source: RNAcentral
UGAAGUCGGAGUUGCUAGUAAUCGCGGAUCAGAAUGCCGCGGUGAAUGCGUUCCCGGGUCUUGUACACACCGCCCGUCACACCAUGGAAGUUGGGGGCGCCCGAAGUUGGUCGAGGAAUAGAUUACCUAAGGCGAAACCAAUGACUGGGGUGAAGUCGUAACAAGGUAGC